CCCUUAGAUGUUCUGGGCAGCACGCGCGCUACAAUGGUCUUCGCAAACGGAUGCAUUCUCGAAGGAGAAUGCCAAUCUUGGAAUCUAUGCCUUGGUCGGGACAGUUGCUUGCAAUUUUUCGACUCGAACCAGGAAUUCCUUGUAAUCGUGAUUCAUCACAUCACGAUGAAUACGUCCCUGCCCUUUGUACACACCGCCCGUCGCUACUACCGAUUGAAUGGUUUAGUGAGACCUUCGGAUUGGUCCCGGCAUGGUGGGAAACUGCCUGGCCGUGGUUGCUGAGAAGAUGUUCAAACUUGAUCAUUUAGAGGAAGUAAAAGUCGUAACA
Molecule: ribosomal RNA, 328 nt
Filed under: uncultured eukaryote
Lineage: Eukaryota
Description: partial 18S ribosomal RNA
Rfam family: Eukaryotic small subunit ribosomal RNA
Source: RNAcentral